AGAGUUUGAUCAUGGCUCAGAAUCAACGCUGGCGGCGUGCCUAACACAUGCAAGUCGAGCGAGAAAAGGGGAGCAAUCCUCUGAGUACAGCGGCGCACGGGUGAGUAACACGUGGGUAAUCUGCCCUGAAGUGGGGAAUAACACCGGGAAACCGGUGCUAAUACCGCAUAUGAUCACGGUGUCUGCGGACACAGGGAUGAAAGGAGCAAUUCGCUUCAGGAGGAGCCCGCGGCUGAUUAGCUAGUUGGUGAGGUAAUGGCCCACCAAGGCUACGAUCAGUAUCCGGUCUGAGAGGACGGUCGGACACACUGGAACUGAGACACGGUCCAGACUCCUACGGGAGGCAGCAGUGGGGAAUUUUUCGCAAUGGGGGCAACCCUGACGAAGCAACGCCGCGUGGAUGAUGAAGUAUCUCGGUACGUAAAAUCCUUUCGACAGGGAAGAAACCGCAAGGUUGACGGUACCUGUAGAAGAAGCCCCGGCUAACUCCGUGCCAGCAGCCGCGGUAAUACGGGGGGGGCUAGCGUUGUUCGGAAUUACUGGGCGUAAAGGGCGCGUAGGCGGUCUGCUAAGUUGGAUGUGAAAACUCUGGGCUUAACCCAGAGCCUGCAUUCAAUACUGACAGGCUAGAGUUCUGGAGGGGAUAGCGGAAUUCCUGGUGUAGCGGUGAAAUGCGUAGAUAUCAGGAGGAACACCGGUGGCGAAGGCGGCUAUCUGGACAGAGUCUGACGCUGAGGCGCGAAAGCUAGGGGAGCAAACAGGAUUAGAUACCCUAGUAGUCC
RNAcentral lists this ribosomal RNA (782 nucleotides) under uncultured bacterium. RNAcentral's name for it is "bacterial SSU rRNA". It matches the Rfam family "Bacterial small subunit ribosomal RNA", at positions 8 to 796 of the family's 1533-position model. The record is from RNAcentral.